UCGCGUGCCCAAAGAGAUUGGCUUUCAUCAGGUCUUUGCGCAGUCACCAGCCACAUUACCCUCAUGGCUAACAGCGGAAGAUGUGAAUUAUUUUGCUCAGAAAUUAAACAAAACAGGCUUCACUGGAGGACUGAACUAUUAUCGUAAUCUGGACAAGUAUGUAUGCUUCCUCUAUUUUGAUUUGUUUGUCCGAAUUUGAAUUGGCACGAAGCUUAAGAAACUAAAGAAAGACUUUUGAAUCUUGUGGUUUUAAACGACUCCUUUAACCAUGUGUUCUUUCUUAAACAUGUCAUGUGUAAAGUUAAAAAGUUUUGAUAGUUUACAAAUUAUGAGGUUCUUAUAUUUAUGAAAAGAUAUAUACAAAUUAAGGAAUCCAAAUUGCAUGUCGAAAUAUAAUCUCAACUUCAAAUCAUCUGAUUUCAAAAUUUUGAUUGUACUAUUAAUGCAGAAACUGGGAGCUGACAGCACCAUUUAGAGGAUGCAAAAUUCAUGUUCCAACUAAGUUUAUUGUGGGUGACCUGGACAUUACAUAUCAUGUUCCUGGAAUCAAGGAGUAUAUUCACAAUGGUGGUUUCAAGAAAGAAGUUCCUAAUUUGCAGGAAGUUGUUGUAAUGGAGGGAGUAGCUCAUUUCAUCAACCAAGAAAAGCCUGAUGAAAUAAGUGCCCACAUUUAUGAUUUUAUUCAGAAGUUUUGAUUAACGAGACCCCCUUUGUCUUUCAGGUUUCCGCCACUUCACCACUUGGAAUAAGCAG
Molecule: long non-coding RNA, 753 nt
Filed under: Capsicum annuum
Lineage: Eukaryota; Viridiplantae; Streptophyta; Magnoliopsida; Solanales; Solanaceae
Description: long non-coding RNA (CANN_LNC005545)
Source: RNAcentral